Caenorhabditis elegans is the source of this 72-nucleotide non-coding RNA. The record is from Ensembl. NCBI's taxonomy places the organism in Eukaryota, Metazoa, Nematoda, Chromadorea, Rhabditida, Rhabditidae.
UUUUCAAUUGUUGUUACGCAAACAAAACUAGUAGUGAUGCCUCAAUUGUUGUAUAAUAUUUAUCUAUCUUUU